RNAcentral lists this ribosomal RNA (52 nucleotides) under Perkinsus olseni. Its description in RNAcentral is "large subunit ribosomal RNA". The record is from RNAcentral. Lineage: Eukaryota; Perkinsozoa; Perkinsida; Perkinsidae.
AUAAAUCUAUAUUGAUAAAAGGGCAUUAUAAAUCUAGUUAGGGCCCUAAUAU